UUGGAACACUGGUUCCCGUAUGAUCACUGAAGUUAAGCAAUGUCAAACCUGAUCAGUAUCUAGAUGGGUGACCACUUGGGAAUACCAGGUACUGUA
This is a non-coding RNA of Acanthosepion pharaonis, 96 nucleotides long. The record is from the annotation of a GenBank genome assembly. Lineage: Eukaryota; Metazoa; Mollusca; Cephalopoda; Sepiida; Sepiidae.